This 460-nucleotide ribosomal RNA is filed under the name uncultured bacterium. RNAcentral describes it as "partial 16S ribosomal RNA". It matches the Rfam family "Bacterial small subunit ribosomal RNA", at positions 338 to 795 of the family's 1533-position model. The record is from RNAcentral.
CCUACGGUUGGCAGCAGUGAGGAAUAUUGGUCAAUGGGCGGGAGCCUGAACCAGCCAAGUCGCGUGAGGGAAGACGGUCCUAUGGAUUGUAAACCUCUUUUGGCGGGGAGCAAUGCCGGGCACGCGUGCCCGGAGGGAGAGUACCCGCAGAAUAAGCAUCGGCUAACACCGUUCCAGCAGCCGCGGUAUUACGGGGGUUGGCAGCGUUAUCCGGAUUUAUUGGGUUUAAAGGGUGCGAAGGCGGAUGUUUAAGUCAGCGGUAAAAUGUCCGGGCUCAACCCGGGCCGGCCGUUGAAACUGGGGAUCUUGAGUGGGCUAGAAGUAUGCGGAAUGCGUGGUGUAGCGGUGAAAUGCAUAGAUAUCACGCAGAACUCCGAUUGCGAAGGCAGCAUACCGGCGCCCGACUGACGCUGAGGCACGAAAGCGUGGGGAUCGAACAGGAUUAGAUACCCCUGUAGUC